Molecule: small nucleolar RNA, 133 nt
Organism: Mastomys coucha (southern multimammate mouse)
Lineage: Eukaryota; Metazoa; Chordata; Mammalia; Rodentia; Muridae
Product: small nucleolar RNA SNORA70
Exons: 1
Source: RefSeq, a predicted model, not a curated record
AAAAAGUUUAGCCGAACAAGUUCCUUUCCUCCUAGGGGCCUGGUUAGGAAUGGCUACAAACAAGUCUCUGGGCAUAGGGUAUGUAGCCAGAUGCUUGCACUGGUGUCCAUGAGGCAGAUCCAUGGAGACAGUU